RNAcentral lists this ribosomal RNA (460 nucleotides) under uncultured bacterium. RNAcentral's name for it is "partial 16S ribosomal RNA". It matches the Rfam family "Bacterial small subunit ribosomal RNA", at positions 338 to 795 of the family's 1533-position model. The record is from RNAcentral.
CCUACGGGGGGCAGCAGUGAGGAAUAUUGGUCAAUGGACGCAAGUCUGAACCAGCCAUGCCGCGUGCAGGAAGACGGCUCUAUGAGUUGUAAACUGCUUUUGUACGAGGGUAAACGCAGAUACGCGUAUCUGUCUGAAAGUAUCGUAUGAAUAAGGAUCGGCUAACUCCGUGCCAGCAGCCGCGGUAAUACGGAGGAUUCAAGCGUUAUCCGGAUUUAUUGGGUUUAAAGGGUGCGUAGGCGGUCUGAUAAGUUAGAGGUGAAAUUCUGAGGCUCAACUUCGGAAUUGCCGCUGAUACUGUUCGGCUAGAGAGUAGUUGCGGUAGGCGGAAUGUGUGGUGUAGCGGUGAAAUGCUUAGAUAUCAUGCAGAACACCGAUUGCGAAGGCAGCUUACCAAGCUACUUCUGACGUUGAGGCACGAAAGCGUGGGGAGCAAACAGGAUUAGAUACCCGAGUAGUC